This 598-nucleotide long non-coding RNA is filed under the name Bos taurus (domestic cattle). RNAcentral's name for it is "long non-coding RNA NONBTAT008311". Lineage: Eukaryota; Metazoa; Chordata; Mammalia; Artiodactyla; Bovidae. The record is from RNAcentral.
GGAUAAAUAAGAUUUUAUUUGAUAUACUGACAAUUACAAAAUUUCAGAAAUGGAUACUAAGGGUACACAGUUACAAAUAUAUUACUUGAUAGAUGAAUUCUAGAUGAAGCACAAAUAAAAGAACUUUAUGUGAGUAAAGGAGAUACAGUUCCUGAAUCAGAAAAGCUUAAUGCUUAUAUAGGAAUGUACUAGUUACAAGAACACAAUAGAGAAGGAAAAAUCCAAGAGGAAAAUAAGAAUCACAUACAGAGCAAAAUGCACAGGUAAACGUACAAGUAAACUGAGCACAUAAAGGAACUGAAAUAUCUUCCUUCUGCUGGUGACUCGCCAUAUGAGUAGAAGCUUUUUUAAUUUCAUCAAUGAUAACUGCAAGUUAUCGGCUCAGAAAAAAAUCAUGGCUGAAGAUGUGAGCUAUUUUUAUCAACUUUACAAUCUUUUCUUUUAUCUGAUGACUACAGUUUAACAUGAUUUCUUGAACUUCAGAGGGUUCAAAUGAUUGAUUAAAAGACAGCAGAACUACAGAGAAAGAUAACUUAUGUACUUCUGGCCUUUUAAAUUUUGGAUAGAAUAAAAUUAUUUCUAUGAUUUAUUUUUUUUU